RNAcentral lists this transfer RNA (70 nucleotides) under Murex trapa. RNAcentral describes it as "tRNA-Pro". The record is from RNAcentral. Lineage: Eukaryota; Metazoa; Mollusca; Gastropoda; Neogastropoda; Muricidae.
CGAGGUUGUAGUUUAAUAAAAAUAUUAGCAUUGGAAGCUAGAGAUUGGGUUAUUUAAUCCCACACCUCGA